Esox lucius (northern pike) is the source of this 784-nucleotide long non-coding RNA. NCBI's taxonomy places the organism in Eukaryota, Metazoa, Chordata, Actinopteri, Esociformes, Esocidae. The record is from Ensembl.
AGACAAGAAACCAACUUUGUUUCACACAUUUAAGCUAUCCCCAUUGCAAAUUAAGAAACGUUUAGCAAUUUUACAUUGCAAUUUUGCUAAUUAUCGUUAUUAGUUUAUAUUAACAACUAGGCUGUAUAUUUUGAACCAUUCGAGCUACAGAUACGAAACCAACUGUGUUAAUUUCCUGAGUCCCGGAGAAACAUAAAAUACGGAUAAAGCAGUUGUACACUGUACCCUUUGAGAGGAAGGGAGAACGUGUGAAAGAACUCCGAUAUCAAUACGUCCAGAGGGCAAUGGAGAUGGAAGCCAGGCAAACUUCUCAUCAAUUCAUCUUUGUGGAUGAAGCUGAAUUCAACCUGGCAAAAACACACCGCAGGGGGUGAAAUGUGAUUGUUUAGAGAGCCACCAUGGAUGUCCCAGGCCAGAGGGGAGCGAACAUCACAAUGUGUGCAGCAUUGUCCAAUGAAGAUGUCCUUAUUGGAUGCCAUGAAUUCAGGGUGUAGAGAGAUUUCUCCUCAAGACUGCCAGGGUUGGAUUAGACAUUCCAGAAGAUAUUUCCCAAGGUGCAUCGCCAGAGAAGACAUCAGAUGUGAUGUUGAUGAGAACUUGUGGUCAAAUGCAGGUGAUAGGGUGAACUUGUGAUUGUACGUACUCUAGAUGUUGAUGUUUGUUUGUUGUGAUUGCAGCCCUGGAAUUAAGAGAAUUUGUUUUUUGUUUUUCAAAAAUAUAAUUUUCUAUGUGCAAAGAUAUGGAAAACAAAAUUGCUGCAUUUCUGAUUCAUUCUUGUUCCGUA